Molecule: transfer RNA, 74 nt
Filed under: Acidimicrobiaceae bacterium
Lineage: Bacteria; Bacillati; Actinomycetota; Acidimicrobiia; Acidimicrobiales; Acidimicrobiaceae
Also listed under: 1 other name
Description: tRNA-Pro
Rfam family: tRNA
About the family: Transfer RNA (tRNA) molecules are approximately 80 nucleotides in length.
Source: RNAcentral
CGGGGAGUGGCGCAGCGUGGUAGCGCACCUGCUUUGGGAGCAGGGGGUCGGGGGUUCAAGUCCCCCCUCCCCGA